RNAcentral lists this ribosomal RNA (423 nucleotides) under uncultured cyanobacterium. Its description in RNAcentral is "bacterial SSU rRNA". It matches the Rfam family "Bacterial small subunit ribosomal RNA", at positions 356 to 795 of the family's 1533-position model. The record is from RNAcentral. Lineage: Bacteria; Bacillati; Cyanobacteriota.
GGGGAAUUUUCCGCAAUGGGCGAAAGCCUGACGGAGCAAUACCGCGUGAGGGAGGAAGGCUCUUGGGUUGUAAACCUCAAAACUUAGGGAAGAAAAAAAUGACGGUACCUAACAUAAGCAUCGGCUAACUCCGUGCCAGCAGCCGCGGUAAUACGGAGGAUGCAAGCGUUAUCCGGAAUCAUUGGGCGUAAAGAGUCCGUAGGCGGCUAAUCAAGUCUGCUGUCAAAGACCGAAGCUCAACUUCGGAAAGGCGGUGGAAACUGAUAAGCUGGAGUACAGUAGGGGUAGAGGGAAUUCCCAGUGUAGCGGUGAAAUGCGUAGAGAUUGGGAAGAACACCAGUGGCGAAGGCGCUCUACUGGGCUUGUACUGACGCUGAGGGACGAAAGCUAGGGGAGCGAAAGGGAUUAGAUACCCCUGUAGUC